UCCGGCUUGACGCCGGCAGUCUGUCUAGAGUGCCCAACUUAAUGAUGGCAACUAAACACGAGGGUUGCGCUCGUUGCGGAACUUAAUCCAACACCUCACGGCACGAGCUGACGACAACCAUGCACCACCUGUCACCAGUGCCCGAAGGGGUCCCAUAUUUCUACGGGAUUACACUGGGAAGUCAAGUCUUGGUAAGGUUCUUGGCGUAGCAUCCAAUUAAACCACAUGCUCCACUGCUUGUGCGGGCCCCCGUCAAUUCCUUUGAGUUUCAACCUUGCGGCCGUACUCCCCAGGCGGGGCACUUAAUGCGUUAGCGGCGGCGCCAAGGGGGUCGAAGCCCCUGACACCUAGUGCCCAUCGUUUACCGCUAGGACUA
Molecule: unclassified non-coding RNA, 376 nt
Filed under: uncultured bacterium
Lineage: Bacteria
Description: contains 16S-23S intergenic spacer region
Source: RNAcentral